UGGCGGACGGGUGAGUAAUGUCCGGGAAACUGCCUGAUGGAGGGGGAUAACUACUGGAAACGGUAGCUAAUACCGCAUAACGUCGCAAGACCAAAGAGGGGACCUUCGGGCCUCUUGCCAUCGGAUGUGCCCAGAUGGGAUUAGCUAGUAGGUGGGGUAAUGGCUCACCUAGGCGACGAUCCCUAGCUGGUCUGAGAGGAUGACCAGCCACACUGGAACUGAGACACGGUCCAG
Molecule: ribosomal RNA, 234 nt
Filed under: uncultured bacterium
Lineage: Bacteria
Description: partial 16S ribosomal RNA
Rfam family: Bacterial small subunit ribosomal RNA
Source: RNAcentral